RNAcentral lists this ribosomal RNA (342 nucleotides) under Triticum aestivum (bread wheat). Its description in RNAcentral is "partial small subunit ribosomal RNA". The record is from RNAcentral. Lineage: Eukaryota; Viridiplantae; Streptophyta; Magnoliopsida; Poales; Poaceae.
AUGACAAGCACAAUCCCUGGUACUAAUGCUUACUCUGUUUAUUUUGGAUGUUCAAGUGUAGCAUCUAUUGACCAAUGCAAGCUCCAUCAGGAUGUGCGUAGUGUCCAUAAGUUUCUUUUUGGCCAGUACAGGGAGAAAAAUAUAUGGAAUGUACAACAAUCCUACAUGAAACAUUCUGAACAAAGUCAUAUCGAGCUACCCCUAGAAAUUUCUAUAGCUUCUAUGAACUCAGGGCCAACUUGCAUUUUCAUGUCAAGCAUGGCUGAUUAUCAGAGGGAAAGGAAAGAUGGAGUAGCAGAAUCAUUGCCUACGAUGAGUUCAUCGGGUCGAAGUGCACAUUAA